AUUCAAAUAGCUCAUGUUUAGAGUAUAACCUGAAGAUGUUGGGGAAGGUUUAUUAAGCCUUUGAAUA
This 67-nucleotide transfer RNA is filed under the name Gasterophilus sp. LRC-2002. RNAcentral describes it as "tRNA-Phe". Lineage: Eukaryota; Metazoa; Arthropoda; Insecta; Diptera; Oestridae. The record is from RNAcentral.